Molecule: ribosomal RNA, 275 nt
Filed under: uncultured bacterium
Lineage: Bacteria
Description: partial 16S ribosomal RNA
Rfam family: Bacterial small subunit ribosomal RNA
Source: RNAcentral
GCGUGAGUGAUGAAGGCCUUAGGGUUGUAAAGCUCUUUCGCGCGCGACGAUGAUGACGGUAGCGCGAGAAGAAGCCCCGGCUAACUUCGUGCCAGCAGCCGCGGUAAUACGAAGGGGGCGAGCGUUGUUCGGAAUUACUGGGCGUAAAGGGCGCGCAGGCGGCCUUACAAGUCAGGCGUGAAAGCCCCGGGCUUAACCUGGGAAUUGCGCUUGGGACUGUGAGGCUUGAGUACGGGAGAGGAGAGUGGAAUUCCCAGUGUAGAGGUGAAAUUCGU